GCAAUCCAGUGGCGGACGGCUGAGUAACGCGUAGGAAUUACCCGAGACUGGGGAAUAGCCCGCCGAAAGGCGGGGUAAUACCGCAUAGUCCUCACUUCGUGUGGGGUAAAGGGCGUAACUGCCCGGUCACGGAUGAGCCUGCGUCCUAUCAGGUAGUUGGUGGGGUAAUAGCCUACCAAGCCAAUGACGGGUAGCUGGCCUGAUGAGGGUGGUCAGCCAGAGGGGGACUGAGACACGGCCCCCACUCCUACGGGAGGCAGCAAUUAGGAAUAGUCGGCAAUGGGCGAAAGCCUGACCGCGCAACGCCGCGUGUAGGAAGACGCUCGAAAGAGUGUAAACUACUGUGGAGAGGGAAGAAAACCCGAGUAAUCGGGUCUGACGGUACCUCUCUAGAAAGGGGCCGCUAACUUCGUGCCAGAAGCGUCGGUAAUACGAGGGCCCCAAGCGUUAUCCGGUGUUACUGGGCGUAAAGAGUCGUGUAGGCGGUUGUGUAAGUUAUCUUUUAAAGCUCCCGGCUCAACUGGGAAAAAGGAGAUAAUACUGCAUAACUAGAGUUUUCUUAAGGGAGAAUGGAACUAAAGGAGGAGUAGUGAAGUGCGUUGAUACCUUUAGGAACACCAGUGGCGAAGGCGAUUCUCUGGAAGAAAACUGACGCUGAGACACGAAAGCUAGGGGAGCGAAGCAGAUUAGAGACCUGCGUAGUCCUAGCCGUAAACG
Molecule: ribosomal RNA, 717 nt
Filed under: uncultured organism
Description: bacterial SSU rRNA
Rfam family: Bacterial small subunit ribosomal RNA
Source: RNAcentral